This is a long non-coding RNA of Glycine soja, 1449 nucleotides long. RefSeq lists it as uncharacterized. The transcript is spliced from 3 exons. The record is from RefSeq and is a predicted model, not a curated record. Lineage: Eukaryota; Viridiplantae; Streptophyta; Magnoliopsida; Fabales; Fabaceae.
UAUUUGUUACAACCAAAACUUGGUUGCCGCCUUUGCCAAUUAGUGGACCCUUAAUUCUUCCCUUAAUUUCCCUUCUUCUUUCAAGGAUUUUCCUCCUGUCUCUCUCCUCACUUCUGUCUCCUUAAAUACCCCCCAAUAGGAUCAUUGGCUCCAGAAGCAAAAACUAGAGAGACUCACAUAGAGAAAAGUCAUUUUGUGUCAAGCAAAAGAACCAGAUUAUUAAUUGUUCCUCCCCUUUUUGUUGGUCUCCUCUUACUCUUUCUGUCCCUCUGAUAUAUAAUUAAGGGUAUGCAGUAGGUCUUGAUUUUGCUGUCAAAUGGGACCAUUUUCUUUUCUGGAACCAUUUCUUUUCUAUGUCUCAACUCAUCACACACACAUAUACUUGUCAAGUUCAAGCUGAGGCCAGCUCCUUGGUGGAUAUUGUUAUCUACUCUGAUUGGAGAAAUGAUGUGCUCGUCUGGCUCCCUAGAUGUCAUGUAAGAAGUUUGUCAAAAUUAACAAUCUUUUUAUUUGGCAUGAAGGGAGUCAUGGAGGCUAUUUAAUCCCUCAAUCACAUAUGAAGAGAUUCAUGCAAAUUUUGAUGAUACAGAUUGUUAUCUAUUCUAAUCGAUGAAAUGAUAUACUUAUCUGACUUCCUCUAUGUAAUGUAAGAAACUUGUCAAAAGGGUUUGACAACAUUUUUAUUUAGCAUUUGAGGAGUCAAGUAAGUCACUCAAGUCAUUCAAUCAGACACGAGGAGAGUCAAGCAUUUUGGUGAUACACAUUGUUAUCAAUUUUGAUUGGUGAAAUGAUGUGUUUGCCUGGCUCCCUGCAUGCCAUGUAAGAAGCUUGUCAAAAAAAAUUGACAACCUUUUUAUUUGGCAUACAGGGAGUCAAGCAGACUAGUCAACUCUCUCAAUCAAACAUGAAGAGUGUCAUGUUUCCAAUUACAUCAAAGCAUCCUUUUCCAUUUCCAUGAUUCAGUUCCUAAUGGUGAGGAAUCAGUUUCUAUAUAUGCUUGAUAAAGAUCACCUUGCACCAUUUUCUUGGUUGUUGGAACCGUGUACGACAUGUCGGCAUGCUAUAAUUAAGUUCUAUUUUCCACUUACUUUCCUUUUGUCUUGAUUAACUUUACAAGAGAUAUACUUUUUAGUCAUCAAAAACUGUUUAUUAUUUGAUCUUUGCUCCUGUGAGGUUCUACACAUACAGACGCGGAUAAUAAGCUGCUUUGGCGGGGAGAAGAAAAUGUGCAUGCGGAAAAUAAUGCAGGGGAGGAGAAAUUGUAUGGUCAAGAAAGAGUUCAAAUAAAGCCAAAGUUAAUGAUGCAUCCUCUGAACCUGCCACUGUAUUAGAUUUGAUAUAUUUUGUAUACAGUGACAUUUGCUUUGUGCAACGUGUGAUGUCACAAUCUUAUUGCCUAUAUAUAUAUAUAUAUAUGAUAUUAAGCUCUAAACAUGGGCCUAAGUUCAU